This 484-nucleotide ribosomal RNA is filed under the name uncultured bacterium. RNAcentral describes it as "partial 16S ribosomal RNA". It matches the Rfam family "Bacterial small subunit ribosomal RNA", at positions 30 to 507 of the family's 1533-position model. The record is from RNAcentral.
AUUGAACGCUGGCGGCAGGCCUAACACAUGCAAGUCGAGCGGAUGAAGGGAGCUUGCUCCUGGAUUCAGCGGCGGACGGGUGAGUAAUGCCUAGGAAUCUGCCUGGUAGUGGGGGAUAACGUCCGGAAACGGGCGCUAAUACCGAAUACGUCCUGAGGGAGAAAGUGGGGGAUCUUCGGACCUCACGCUAUCGGAUGAGCCUAGGUCGGAUUAGCUAGUUGGUGGGGUAAAGGCCUACCAAGGCGACGAUCCGUAACUGGUCUGAGAGGAUGAUCAGUCACACUGGAACUGAGACACGGUCCAGACUCCUACGGGAGGCAGCAGUGGGGAAUAUUGGACAAUGGGCGAAAGCCUGAUCCAGCCAUGCCGCGUGUGUGAAGAAGGUCUUCGGAUUGUAAAGCACUUUAAGUUGGGAGGAAGGGCAGUAAGUUAAUACCUUGCUGUUUUGACGUUACCAACAGAAUAAGCACCGGCUAACUUCGUG